This 446-nucleotide ribosomal RNA is filed under the name uncultured bacterium. Its description in RNAcentral is "bacterial SSU rRNA". It matches the Rfam family "Bacterial small subunit ribosomal RNA", at positions 330 to 793 of the family's 1533-position model. The record is from RNAcentral.
ACCAGACUCCUACGGGAGGCAGCAGUGGGGGAUAUUGCACAAUGGGGGAAACCCUGAUGCAGCGACGCCGCGUGAGUGAAGAAGUAUUUCGGUAUGUAAAGCUCUAUCAGCAGGGAAGAAGAUGACAGUACCUGAGUAAGAAGCCCCGGCUAACUACGUGCCAGCAGCCGCGGUAAUACGUAGGGGGCAAGCGUUAUCCGGAUUUACUGGGUGUAAAGGGAGCGUAGACGGCCAUGCAAGCCAGGGGUGAAAGCCCGGGGCCCAACCCCGGGACUGCCCUUGGAACUGCAUGGCUGGAGUGCGGGAGGGGCAGGCGGAAUUCCUAGUGUAGCGGUGAAAUGCGUAGAUAUUAGGAGGAACACCAGUGGCGAAGGCGGCCUACUGGACGGUGACUGACGCUGAGGCUCGAAAGCGUGGGGAGCAAACAGGAUUAGAUACCCGAGUAA